GAGAUCAGCCUCGCAGGCGAUGAGGUGCUCAGCGCACUCGUAAUGACCAGUCCUCACCGCCACAUGCAGCGCUGUGCUGAGAAGCUUAAAAAAUCAGAAAAUGGUGGAAGGAGUGAGAACAGACACUGUCCGAGACCUCAAGGCAUGUGCAAAGUGGGUGUGUGGCUGAGGUGUUCACAGAAUAAGGACUAGCAGAGGACCUCCGUGGACGGAUAGGACUCUCAAGGAAACAGAAGCCUACGGAAGGACUGGGAAAUACCUUGUCUCUGGCACUGAUUUUGGCUCCUUUGUUCAGCAACAGUUUCAGGACAUCUGCGUUUCCUCCACGACAUGCCCAGUGGAUGGCUGUGGAUUCAAGCUAUUUGGGAAAGGAAAAACACAAGCAAGAUGUAGCAACAGCUGGAGAAACUUUUAGGUGGAAGACAUUGAGACUGUAUUUGCCAGCCUCCAGGAAGGCACGGCACAGGCUUGCUUACCUCAUCGCAGACGUCGGGGCUGUUCUUGUCUGACAGGAAUUUCUCUACAACUGGCAGUUUGUUCUCCAGCGCAGCUUUCAGAAACCUCGGCACAUCCACAGGUUCAGUCUAAAGUGAGGGAAGAGGAGGGCAGGAGGAGACAGACAGAGGAGGAGAAGGAAGAGGAAGAGGCAAAGGGAAGGGAGAGGAAAAGACAAGACAGGAGAAGAAGGGAGAGGAUGCUCAUAAAGAGUAGAGGAGAAAGUGGGAAAGAACAAAGAAGAAAGAAAUUGAGGAGAAAGGAGAGAAAAGGGAAAGAAAUCGAAAGUGGCCAUGAGUUUUGCUGCCGUCGUCCCUCCACAGGACUCACCCCUGCAACUUAUAAGGAUGUGCAAUAACCAAACAGUCCUUACCAUAAUUUCAGGUUCUGGCUCCUUCACAACUGGAACUUUGGUUUUCUUGUAUUUUUUCCUUUUCUUCAGUUGAACAAUUAUUUCAAGGUCUUCUAAGUUUUCAAGCUUUGAUCUUUGUUCUAGUUUUUUCUUUUUGAGCUAACGAAAGGGGGGAAAAAUCAAGUGUUGAAAAAUAUAUAGUGAGUUCUAACUAUUGUGGUACCUGAACAAACCCUGCACAGCCUGAGCAAACUGUGAGUGGGCUGAGAAUGGGAAAUCCAAAGCACUUUCAAGUGAGUGUCUGACUUCAGGGAUUUUAUUUUCAUUAAAGUAUUUGGGGUCUAAUUUUAAUCUAAGUCAUAUUUACUUCCUUUGCUUGUAGAACUAGUCCUUGACUAAUUGGUUAGAGGCACGACAUAGUCUCUCAGUAAUCAUUUUGUAAUUAGUACCAUAAAGCCCAGAUUUCUAUAGAAUUUGUUUUCUCAUUCUCAAAAACUAACAUAUGUUUUAACCAAGGGUAGAAAAUACAGAUAAAUUCACAAAUACUGAUGCCAUUCUCCUUCACGAGUCUCUGAAACGGAGAUUACUGCUGCACUUCUAAAUUUGUGUUAGUAAUCUACAAAAAUUCAAUAAAUAAAUUUCAAUAAA
Molecule: long non-coding RNA, 1495 nt
Filed under: Mus musculus (house mouse)
Lineage: Eukaryota; Metazoa; Chordata; Mammalia; Rodentia; Muridae
Description: predicted gene, 56671
Source: RNAcentral